GACGAACGCUGGCGGCGUGCUUAACACAUGCAAGUCGAACGGAAAGGCCCUGCUUUUGUGGGGUGCUCGAGUGGCGAAGGGGUGAGUAAAACGUGAGUAACCUGCCCUUGUCUUUGGGAUAAAUUCAGGAAAAAGGGGAUAAUACAGGAUAGGAGCUCCUGCUGCAUGGUGGGGGUUGGAAAGAUUCGGCGGUUGGGGAUGGAAUCGCGGCUUAUCAGCUUGUUGGUGGGGUAGUGGCUUACCAAGGGUUUGACGGGUAGGCGGCCUGAGAGGGUGACCGGCCACAUUGGGACUGAGGGACGGCGCAGACUCCUACGGGAGGCAGCAGUGGGGAAUAUGGCACAAUGGGCGGAAGCCAGAUGCAGCAACGCCGCGUGCGGGAUGACGGCCUUCGGGUUGUAAACCGCUUUCGCAUGUGACGAAGCGAGAGUGACGGUACUGGGUAAAGAAGCACCGGCUAACUACGUG
RNAcentral lists this ribosomal RNA (468 nucleotides) under uncultured bacterium. RNAcentral describes it as "partial 16S ribosomal RNA". It matches the Rfam family "Bacterial small subunit ribosomal RNA", at positions 28 to 507 of the family's 1533-position model. The record is from RNAcentral.